This 1056-nucleotide ribosomal RNA is filed under the name Phaeothecoidea melaleuca. RNAcentral's name for it is "eukaryotic LSU rRNA". The stretch from base 156 to 1056 matches the Rfam family "Eukaryotic large subunit ribosomal RNA", at positions 1 to 937 of the family's 3401-position model. Lineage: Eukaryota; Fungi; Ascomycota; Dothideomycetes; Mycosphaerellales; Teratosphaeriaceae. The record is from RNAcentral.
AUUACACCACUCAAGCCUCGCUUGGUAUUGGGCGCCGCGCACCGCCGCGCGCCUUAAUGUCUCCGGCUGAGCCGUUCCGUCUCUAAGCGUUGUGGCAUCACGUUUCCGCUUGCGAGUACGGGAGGUUUGCGCCGUUAAACACCCCCAUCAAAGGUUGACCUCGGAUCAGGUAGGGAUACCCGCUGAACUUAAGCAUAUCAAUAAGCGGAGGAAAAGAAACCAACAGGGAUUGCCCUAGUAACGGCGAGUGAAGCGGCAACAGCUCAAAUUUGAAAUCUGGCGCAAGCCCGAGUUGUAAUUUGUAGAGGAUGCUUCUGGGCAGCGGCCGGUCUAAGUUCCUUGGAACAGGACGUCAUAGAGGGUGAGAAUCCCGUAUGCGACCGGUUGGCACCCGUCACGUAGCUCCUUCGACGAGUCGAGUUGUUUGGGAAUGCAGCUCUAAAUGGGAGGUAAAUGUCUUCUAAAGCUAAAUACCGGCCAGAGACCGAUAGCGCACAAGUAGAGUGAUCGAAAGAUGAAAAGCACUUUGGAAAGAGAGUUAAAAAGCACGUGAAAUUGUUGAAAGGGAAGCGCAUGCAACCAGACUUGUCGGCGGUGUUCCGCCGGUCUUCUGACCGGUCUACUCGCCGUCGGCAGGCCAGCAUCACUUGGGACCGCCGGAUAAAGGCCCGGGAAUGUAGCUCCUCGGAGUGUUAUAGCCCGGCGCACAAUACGGCGCGUCCCGAGUGAGGUCCGCGCUUCGGCUAGGAUGCUGGCGUAAUGGUUGUUUGCGGCCCGUCUUGAAACACGGACCAAGGAGUCUAACAUCUAUGCGAGUGUUCGGGUGUCAAACCCCUACGCGUAAUGAAAGUGAACGGAGGUGGGAACUUAGGUGCACCAUCGACCGAUCCUGAUGUCUUCGGAUGGAUUUGAGUAAGAGCAUAGCUGUUGGGACCCGAAAGAUGGUGAACUAUGCCUGAAUAGGGUGAAGCCAGAGGAAACUCUGGUGGAGGCUCGCAGCGGUUCUGACGUGCAAAUCGAUCGUCAAAUUUGGGUAUAGGGGCGAAAGACUAAUCG